GCGGACAUCGUCGAAAGGCAAGACCGCAGUCUUCCAAACUGCUGAUGCGGGUUCGAUUCCCGCUGUCCGCUCCA
Molecule: transfer RNA, 74 nt
Filed under: Myxococcales bacterium
Lineage: Bacteria; Pseudomonadati; Myxococcota; Myxococcia; Myxococcales
Description: tRNA-Gly
Rfam family: tRNA
About the family: Transfer RNA (tRNA) molecules are approximately 80 nucleotides in length. Their secondary structure includes four short double-helical elements and three loops (D, anti-codon, and T loops). Further hydrogen bonds mediate the characteristic L-shaped molecular structure. tRNAs have two regions of fundamental functional importance: the anti-codon, which is responsible for specific mRNA codon recognition, and the 3' end, to which the tRNAs corresponding amino acid is attached (by aminoacyl-tRNA synthetases). tRNAs cope with the degeneracy of the genetic code in two manners: having more than one tRNA (with a specific anti-codon) for a particular amino acid; and 'wobble' base-pairing, i.e. permitting non-standard base-pairing at the 3rd anti-codon position.
Source: RNAcentral